This is a long non-coding RNA of Drosophila biarmipes, 882 nucleotides long. RefSeq lists it as uncharacterized. NCBI's taxonomy places the organism in Eukaryota, Metazoa, Arthropoda, Insecta, Diptera, Drosophilidae. The record is from RefSeq and is a predicted model, not a curated record. The transcript has 4 exons.
GUGGUUUUACUUUCCGGCAUAAUAAUUAUGGGUAGAACGGACUUCUCUCAUGUGAUGGAGGUCGAGAUACUCUUAAAUCACAGAGUUAUAUUUGUUCCCUUUUAGUCGUUGCUUGGUUCUUAGGAACUGCGACAGCGCGGAGGAUCUGGAGUGACUGAGGGCGGAUUUAACGUUUUCCGGAUACCGAAACGGAAGACUUACCUGCCACUAUCGUCUCUUUCGCAUCGGAAGAUUCUGCCACUUUUACUGGCAGAAAAUUUGCACCUGCCAAUAUUUUGUGAAAGUCUUAUCUAGGGACGUGUCAACUGUGUGGGAAAUUUUUGUAGAAAAGGUGAAAAUUUGAUUUUCCCUUAGAGCAGGAACGGGUCCAGUUAGGGUCCACCCGAAAAUGGUUUCUUGACCGAGGAGAGAGCCGUAAAUAUUCGGACGGGUGCAGCUUAGGAGAAUGGAUGAAUGGAAGCACAACGGGCCCGACCAGAAUAUUUAUCUGAGCGCUCUCGUCAAACUUUGAAUCCGCUAGUGGCAAUUCGGAAAGGUCCCGUAGAAAAUGUCGGCUUUUUAGAAUCAGCGGAUACUGUCUUACUGGUCAUACUGGUUUAAGCCUGAUACUUGUGCGCGGAUUACCUGGUGUAGCGACAUAAUUAAUUUGAACAACCGCUCAGAAAUCCUAAAUCUAUCAGGGCACUAGCUUUAAAAUUCGAACCCAGGUGACAGAUGUCAAUUAUGGCGGUGCCCAGCAAGACGGAUCUAUAGCCCGUCGCGAAGUAAUUAUUUUGGAAUGUAGAGUCCGAAGACACGGUAGCGGGCGCAACUGGCGAAUUUGGUCUUGGCCUAAGCGAAGGAUUUGAAGGCGAUGGUACAAACGAUACGGUUACUAAAAAG